Molecule: unclassified non-coding RNA, 378 nt
Filed under: plant metagenome
Description: partial contains 5.8S ribosomal RNA, internal transcribed spacer 2, and large subunit ribosomal RNA
Rfam family: 5.8S ribosomal RNA (bases 1-105)
Source: RNAcentral
GAAAUGCGAUAUGUAAUGUGAAUUGCAGAAUUCAGUGAAUCAUCGAAUCUUUGAACGCACCUUGCGCUCCUUGGUAUUCCUUGGAGCAUGCCUGUUUGAGUAUCAUGAAAUCUUCAAAGUAAAUCUUUUGUUAACUCAAUUGGUUUCUACUUUGGUAUUGGAGGUCUUUGCAGCUUCACACCUGCUCCUCUUUGUUCAUUAGCUGGAUCUCAGUGUUAUGCUUGGUUCCACUCGGCGUGAUAAGUUUUCUAUCGCUGAGGACACUGUAAAAGGUGGCCAAGGUAAAUGCAGAUGAACCGCUUCUAAUAGUCCAUUGACUUGGACAAUACUUUUAUGAUCUGAUCUCAAAUCAGGUAGGACUACCCGCUAAACUUAAGC